CAGUCGCCGCGGGAAUACAGAGGGUGCGAGCGUUAAUCGGAUUUACUGGGCGUAAAGCGUGCGUAGGCGGCUUCUUAAGUCGGAUGUGAAAUCCCUGAGCUUAACUUAGGAAUUGCAUUCGAUACUGGGAAGCUAGAGUAUGGGAGAGGAUGGUAGAAUUCCAGGUGUAGCGGUGAAAUGCGUAGAGAUCUGGAGGAGUACCGAUGGCGAAGGCAGCCAUCUGGCCUAAUACUGACGCUGAGGUACGAAAGCAUGGGGAGCAAACAGGAUUAGAUACCCGCGUAGUCCCUGUCUCUUAUAC
RNAcentral lists this ribosomal RNA (301 nucleotides) under uncultured bacterium. RNAcentral describes it as "partial 16S ribosomal RNA". It matches the Rfam family "Bacterial small subunit ribosomal RNA", at positions 509 to 807 of the family's 1533-position model. The record is from RNAcentral.